CAAUUAUUAAAAACGUGACCAUGAACCAAUGCCUCAGCUCACAUUGUCGUUCGCGUAUUCUCCCUGCUGAAGGUACCACGUCGGAAACCUAUUUCGCCGCGCCGGGAUCGCCUCCGGCGGCGGCGGAGAUCCUAUAUCGAAAUUAAACAUACUAACCUACACCUUUUAAUCCAGGCGAACCGAAUUCAGCUAGCGUUCAUUCCAAUUUCAACUCAUAAAGCCAAAUCAAAUCGAUCGACGAAUAACCUAAUCGAACCGAUCGACGAUUAAACCAUGAAAUCGCAGAAUCCAAACCAUGAAAGAUGCUCUACAUGAUUGCAAGCAAUUGAUAGGAGAUGACGGAGGAUCAGAGACCUAUCGGAUUUAUGAACCGCGUGUAGCGUUGCCGUCGAGGCUGAAGACUUAAGCUGCGUGUUCACGUUCUUUGAUUUCCCGUUCGUCAAUUGCGGCGAAUCGAAUAUCCAUAUUGCUCCAUCAUCCGUUCACGAUUCCAGGAUUCGUGUCGUCAAAGUCGCGACUCAAUCGGAUUGAAGCUCAAAGCGGUGACAGGUUAAUGUUUGGACUUUAGAAUCAUGGAGUCUUCUUGAACAAUGCUUGGUCAUGGAUAGCCCGGGUUUGGAUCUAUUGUGGGGUGCUGGCUAUGGGAGAUCAGCUUGGUACCAGCCGUGAAAUGUGGAUUGGGAAUCAUGGACUUGUGGCUUUUGGAUUGUGUUGUUGCGUUUCGGUUUGUGCACGUUGCAACUUUUGACUUGCUUCGCGUUGCCGUCGGUUUGUGGCUUGUGUAAGCGUUUGCAGCUGCAUCAUUAUGUUAUGCUUAAUUCACAUUUCCAAUUGUUUCUAUUACUUUGCCUUGUUUGGACAUGUAAAUGAUCAUCUGAGUAAUGGUUUGUAGUUUGUAUUGUAAGGGAUAAUUAUUGGAUAUAUGUGAAAUGUAUUAAUGGAAAAUGAUUUGCAUA
Molecule: long non-coding RNA, 956 nt
Organism: Lathyrus oleraceus (garden pea)
Lineage: Eukaryota; Viridiplantae; Streptophyta; Magnoliopsida; Fabales; Fabaceae
Exons: 2
Source: RefSeq, a predicted model, not a curated record